Molecule: long non-coding RNA, 3033 nt
Organism: Balaenoptera acutorostrata (minke whale)
Lineage: Eukaryota; Metazoa; Chordata; Mammalia; Artiodactyla; Balaenopteridae
Exons: 3
Source: RefSeq, a predicted model, not a curated record
CUUUGGGAGGUAAUUAGGUUUAAAUGAGUUCAUGAAGAUGAAGCCCCCAUGCUGGGAUUAGUACUUAUAAAAACAGAAGAGACACCAGAGUUUCCUUUCUCUGCCAUGUGAGGAUACAGUGACAAGGAGGUCUUCUGCAAGCUGGGGAGGAAACCCUCAACAAGAACUGAAUCUUUCAGCACCUUGAUCUUGGACUUUACAGCCUCCAGAACUGUGAGAGGUGGCGAACAGAUAACCUAAAGUUGCAAGUAGCUAGCAAGGACUUCGAUGAAGCAAAGGAUGACGUCCCUGGGUGGGCUUGAACCACCAACCUUUCGGUUAAAAGCCGAACGCGCUAACCGAUUGCGCCACAGAGACGUGAGAGCGCAUUCCUCAUAACUCGUUUCCUGAUUCAAGAAAUUGCUUUUCAACCUCUGGCUGGGGACAUCCUUAGAUUCUCAUAUUCCGGAAGCCGAAGGUGCGCGCGGGAGACACUGAAGCCAAGAGUUGGUGUCAUCGGGCACAUUUGGACAUCGAUAGAACGUUUGGGACUCAGCUAGGGGACUCUGACUGCCGAACGCCAGAUCUGUGGCCUUCCCACCUGCUCCCCGCCUCAACAGCCGCCCGGCUCCAGGUGACGACCGCAGCCUCUCGGGCUGAAGUCCACGUUACUAUUCUUAGCUUCGCUCGCCGUGAGUCCCCACUUGACCCUGUGGGCGCGCAUGCGAAGGACACGAACCAGCUGUGCCCCCACUGCGCUGCCCACGUUCUGCGCCUCUCUCUAGAUGUGGACUCCGACUGGCAAGACCUCAGAACUGCUCGCGAUGCAGCCCGCCCUCCAGGGCAGGGCCUCGCACCUAGUAGGCACUCAAUAAAUGCCCGGUGAAGGAUGCAUUCUGACGCAGGGUCCUAGGCAACCAAGAAUUCCAGUGUGUGCUUUAAGCUUUUAGGCCUACGAGUAACUCCGGAAACGGAAGGCUGGAAAGGUUUCUCAAAGCCGGAAGCGCUUUUAUUCCUGGAGCUGACUGAGAACAAAGCAAAAGUCUUGACUUUAGACACGUGCGCCCCGGGACCGAGCUGAGUUCCCCACCCUGAACUGCGACUCAGCCUCGGUCUGGGGUCGUCCGUCCUGAGGGGUUGAAUAGGGAAAGCUGAAGAAGAGGAGAAGAAAGCGAGUGGGAAUGGAGGCAGCCCAGUGAGGGACGGGGACAGAGCGAGCUAGUGCUCUGGCCACUGAAGAAAAAGGCGAAAAGAAAACGGAAAAUGCCUAUUUUCGUUAAAUAACUUUGAUUACCCUCCCCCGCCUCCUCUUUGUCGGCCACCGCGCUGACCAUGAUUGUGUACUGUUGGAUGCUCUCGAAUCGGAAUGACUGAGGUUCCUCUUUGAAAUGCUUGGUUAAAGACCGCAACGCCGUGAGAUGUCACCGGAGUCCAGACCUCGGAGCAGGUGGCGAGGCGCCCCCGGCCCCGAGCGGUAGGGGGCGCACAAUCCCCUGCUCACCGCUGGAGGGUGACACAGGACUCCGACUCCGCCCCAGCCCUCCGAGGCUGGGAGUCGGCUGCGCGCCUCCUCUCCCCCUUCCCCUGCGCCCUGUGCCUUGCGGAGGAAUGCUGAAGAAUGUUAUCCAACCACUUGUACUGUCAGGUAGAUGCACUGUCAGAAGCAACCGUAGAGAGAUACUGAUAAAAAUUCUGAAGAACAGAACGUCUGAGUAAGCUUAAUCUCAUUCCUGGAUCAGAUUGAGUAAUGCUGACUGUUUACUAAAGCCCCACAGAAGAGGUUGAGGAUGCGCGGGGCUGAAGCACCGAAAGUGCACUUGGCGCUGCCUGAAUUCUCCCUUGUGACUGAAGACCUUGGAGAAAAGCAUUCACGAUUGUCGUGGAAAGUUAGAAAAUUCCAGUAACAGGACUAAGGAGGUGGAUCCGGCACUGAAAAGAAUCCAGGACUUCCACCUACAGCUAUAGUAUAGUAAUGCCACCAGUUUAGUCUUCUUGCUGUAAACAACCAUGAAAAUAGACAAAAUAUGUGAAGCACCUGUUAUAGACACUGGACAGAGGCAGUGCAAGACUGUGAUUGCCUAAGAGAGGGCUGCGGAAAUGACCUGAUGGUGGUAUAGCAAGCUGGAAUCGCAGCAGAGCAUGGUGUUCACACGGAGCUAAGGUAGAUAUCAGAGGACAGCUGAAGCAACUGGAAUCUGCAGAGAACCAGAAAGGAGAAGACAGUUUACAGGCUAGUUUUCAGAAAUCCAUACUGGGUCUCCUGACAGUUAUUUGCUGAGUGCUGGGCUGCUCAUGUGUGGAGAGCUACUACCAAGGCUUACCGGACAACAGAUGCUACAGGAUGGAAAACAGAACAGAGAUCUUAGAAGUCUCUGCUGGCAACAUUGGAAUUCAGGCUUUGUUAACGACUCUUUACCACCCUGAGCAUCCAAUUGAUACCCCAGAAAGGCUGCUUAAGGAGUAAAGACCACAACCUAGUGUGAGGCCUACUCUGGAUCCUCCCUAAAAAAGGAUAAAACAAAGACCUGACAAGAUUAGCAGGGUUUGGACGUUGAGUCACACCAAAGAGGGCUUUGGGAAACACCUUGGACUUUCCUCAGAUCUACUGAGAAACAAACCAUUAAUCCAGUCCUACACAAGUUCAAGGUCACUGGCCAGUAAUCAAAGUGCUUAAGUAGAACAAAAGUUGAUACUCUUUGGAGAAAGAUAUCAGAAUCCAGAGUCUCUACAUUGCAUCAUUCAAAGUGUUCAGUAAACAAUAAAAAAUACUAAACAUGCAAAGAAACAGAAAAAUGUGACCCAUUCAAUACCUAUUUUUAAAAAGGAAAACAAAGCAGUUAAAAGAAACCAACUCCAAGAAGAUGUCUCAGAUGUUGGAUUUAGCAUACUUUAAAGCAGGGUUGCAGAGUAUGUAUGGUUCAGCAACAUGGGUUCCACUCAUCAUGGCUAAUCUAGCUACAAUCACUAGUGGUGCCCAAACAGUCAACAGCAGAGAACAACUCAGCCCCUGAUAUGACAGCAGUCCCUAAAUCGUUGAAUAAAGCCAAUUAGAUC